Molecule: ribosomal RNA, 253 nt
Filed under: uncultured bacterium
Lineage: Bacteria
Description: partial 16S ribosomal RNA
Rfam family: Bacterial small subunit ribosomal RNA
Source: RNAcentral
UACGGAGGGGACUAGCGUUGUUCGGAAUUACUGGGCGUAAAGCGCACGUAGGCGGUUUGUUUAGUCAGGGGUGAAAUCCCGAGGCUCAACCUCGGAACUGCCUUUGAUACUGGCAAUCUCGAGUCCGGAAGAGGUGAGUGGAAUUCCUAGUGUAGAGGUGAAAUUCGUAGAUAUUAGGAAGAACACCAGUGGCGAAGGCGGCUCACUGGUCCGGUACUGACGCUGAGGUGCGAAAGCGUGGGGAGCAAACAGG